Molecule: ribosomal RNA, 321 nt
Filed under: Pseudomonas fluorescens
Lineage: Bacteria; Pseudomonadati; Pseudomonadota; Gammaproteobacteria; Pseudomonadales; Pseudomonadaceae
Description: bacterial SSU rRNA
Rfam family: Bacterial small subunit ribosomal RNA
Source: RNAcentral
GAACUGAAGAGUUUGAUCAUGGCUCAGAUUGAACGCUGGCGGCAGGCCUAACACAUGCAAGUCGAGCGGUAGAGAGAAGCUUGCUUCUCUUGAGAGCGGCGGACGGGUGAGUAAUGCCUAGGAAUCUGCCUGGUAGUGGGGGAUAACGUUCGGAAACGGACGCUAAUACCGCAUACGUCCUACGGGAGAAAGCAGGGGACCUUCGGGCCUUGCGCUAUCCGAUGAGCCUAGGUCGGAUGAGCUAGUUGGUGAGGUAAUGGCUCACCAAGGCGACGCUCCGUAACUGGGCGGAGAGGAUGAUCACUCACACUGGCACUGAGA